Non-coding RNA from Rana temporaria (common frog), 420 nucleotides. NCBI's taxonomy places the organism in Eukaryota, Metazoa, Chordata, Amphibia, Anura, Ranidae. The record is from the annotation of a RefSeq genome assembly.
AUGGCUUCUCAGGGGGUUCUGCUGCCUCUCAUACUGCUUUAUAUUCAGGGGAGUUGGGCAGAUAUUACACUGACACAAUCUCCAAAUUAUUUAAGUGCAAAUCCAGGAGACACAGUCACCAUGUCAUGUAAAUCCAGUACUGGUAUCAGCAACAUCUUAAACUGGUACCAACAGAAACCAGGACAACGUCCAACACUGAUUAUCUACUGGGCAACCAAUCUGCAGUCUGGAGCCCCAACCAGUUUCAGUGGAUCGUAUUCAGGAACAGAUUUCACUCUUAAGAUCAGCAACAUAAAGGAAGAAGAUGAAGCAAUGUAUCUCUGUCAGCAGAGUAACAGCUACCCUCUCACACAGCGAUACAGAGCCGUACAAAAACCUCCUUCCUCUUUUAUCAGCAAUGACAUUUCACAUCACAUAUAA